Cladorrhinum sp. PSN259 is the source of this 110-nucleotide non-coding RNA. The record is from the annotation of a GenBank genome assembly. NCBI's taxonomy places the organism in Eukaryota, Fungi, Ascomycota, Sordariomycetes, Sordariales, Podosporaceae.
GCGGGUUUAGCUCAGUUGGGAGAGCGUCAGACUGAAGUUGCAACUUCAUUUCCAAAUAUCUUAAUCAAGAGAUAAUCUGAAGGUCGUGUGUUCGAUCCACACAAACCGCA